CUGACGGGCGCGUCCGGGUCAAUUGCGGAAUGCAACACCCGAUCUCUCUCCCCGUCCCUCCCUCGAUGGAGGUCGGGAAGGGAGAGCGCGUCACCAUCAG
This is a regulatory RNA element of Natronomonas pharaonis DSM 2160, 100 nucleotides long. It matches the Rfam family "L4-Archaeoglobi ribosomal protein leades". The record is from Rfam. NCBI's taxonomy places the organism in Archaea, Methanobacteriati, Methanobacteriota, Halobacteria, Halobacteriales, Natronomonadaceae.